RNAcentral lists this ribosomal RNA (1339 nucleotides) under Alloglossidium corti. RNAcentral describes it as "eukaryotic LSU rRNA". It matches the Rfam family "Eukaryotic large subunit ribosomal RNA", at positions 47 to 970 of the family's 3401-position model. Lineage: Eukaryota; Metazoa; Platyhelminthes; Trematoda; Plagiorchiida; Alloglossidiidae. The record is from RNAcentral.
UAAGCGGAGGAAAAGAAACUAACAAGGAUUCCCUUAGUAACGGCGAGUGAACAGGGAAAAGCCCAGCACCGAAGCCUGUGGCCAUUUGGUCAUUAGGCAAUGUGGUGUUUAGGUCGUUCCACAGAGGUUCUGCUCCAUCCUAAGUCCAUCAAUGAGUACGGUAGUAUGGACAUGGCCCAUUGAGGGUGAAAGGCCCGUGGGGGUGGAGACAUCGAAAGGCCAGAGCCUCUCUGGGUAGACCUUGGAGUCGGGUUGUUUGUGAAUGCAGCCCAAAGCGGGUGGUAAACUCCAUCCAAGGCUAAAUACUUGCACGAGUCCGAUAGAGAACAAGUACCGUGAGGGAAAGUUGAAAAGUACUUUGAAGAGAGAGUAAACAGUGCGUGAAACCGCUCAGAGGUAAACGGGUGGAGUUGAACUGCAAGCUUUGAGAAUUCAGCUGAUGAGUGUGGUUUGAGCUGGGUCAAAUUGGUGAACUCCGGAGUCUGCGUAUGAUCAGGUUCUCAUCUUCGGGUGAGGAUGCGCGAUGCACUUAUCAAGUGUUGUGCGCUUCGGUUGUUCCUCGGCCUGCUCGUCAGUGCACUUUCUCAGAGUAGUCACCACGACCGGCAUAUAUGCCUGGUGGAUACGGUUAAACCGGACUUGCAUUGUCUUGAUCGGCUUUGCUCGUUCGGGAUGGCAGGUAUCUCGUUGGCUUGUCUGUGGCUUGCUACAGGCUUUCGGUCUUCGAGUGUAAUCAGCUGACCGUACUAAACUUGUGCAGAAUGUCGGAGAUAGCGGCUUGUGGUGUGUUCAUUUGCAUUUGUUUGCUGACUUGUCCGGGUUUGGUUAUUUAGUUGCCUGUUAAAGCAGGCCUGGUGAUGGCUCGGAUACGUUCGGUAGAUGUUUGCAUAUGUGGCACUAUUCCAAGGGCCAAUAGUCUGUGGUGUAGUGGUAGACUUUCCACCCGACCCGUCUUGAAACACGGACCAAGGAGAGUAACAUGUACGCGAGUCAUUGGGCGUUACGAAACCCACAGGCGAAGUGAAAGUAAAGAUCUGACUUGUUCAGAUUGAGGUGAGAUCCUGUCGUUUCUCACGCAUGGUACUACCCAGCACCGAGCGGCAGGCGCAUCACCGGCCCGUCCCAUGGCAGUUGUUUUCGGACCGUUUUCGGUCGGGGCGGAGCAUGAGCGUACAUGUUGAGACCCGAAAGAUGGUGAACUAUGCUUGCGCAGGCUGAAGCCAGAGGAAACUCUGGUGGAGGGCCGCAGCGAUUCUGACGUGCAAAUCGAUCGUCAAACGUGAGUAUAGGGGCGAAAGACUAAUCGAACCAUCUAGUAGCUGGUUCCCUCCGAAGUUUC